AGUGAACGCUGGCGGUAGGCCUAACACAUGCAAGUCGAACGGCAGCACAGUAAGAGCUUGCUCUUACGGGUGGCGAGUGGCGGACGGGUGAGGAAUACAUCGGAAUCUACUUUUUCGUGGGGGAUAACGUAGGGAAACUUACGCUAAUACCGCAUACGACCUACGGGUGAAAGCAGGGAUCUUCGGACCUUGCGCGAUUGGAUGAGCCGAUGUCGGAUUAGCUAGUUGGCGGGGUAAAGGCCCACCAAGGCGACGAUCCGUAGCUGGUCUGAGAGGAUGAUCAGCCACACUGGAACUGAGACACGGUCCAGACUCCUACGGGAGGCAGCAGUGGGGAAUAUUGGACAAUGGGCGCAAGCCUGAUCCAGCCAUACCGCGUGGGUGAAGAAGGCCUUCGGGUUGUAAAGCCCUUUUGUUGGGAAAGAAAAGCAGCAGGUUAAUACCCCGCUGUUCUGACGGUACCCAAAGAAUAAGCACCGGCUAACUUCGUG
RNAcentral lists this ribosomal RNA (491 nucleotides) under uncultured bacterium. RNAcentral describes it as "partial 16S ribosomal RNA". It matches the Rfam family "Bacterial small subunit ribosomal RNA", at positions 29 to 507 of the family's 1533-position model. The record is from RNAcentral.